RNAcentral lists this ribosomal RNA (440 nucleotides) under uncultured bacterium. RNAcentral describes it as "bacterial SSU rRNA". It matches the Rfam family "Bacterial small subunit ribosomal RNA", at positions 338 to 795 of the family's 1533-position model. The record is from RNAcentral.
CCUACGGGUGGCUGCAGUGGGGAAUAUUGGACAAUGGGCGCAAGCCUGAUCCAGCCAUGCCGCGUGAGUGACGAAGGCCUUAGGGUUGUAAAGCUCUUUUGGCGGGGACGAUAAUGACGGUACCCGCAGAAUAAGCUCCGGCUAACUUCGUGCCAGCAGCCGCGGUAAUACGAAGGGAGCUAGCGUUGUUCGGAAUCACUGGGCGUAAAGCGCACGUAGGCGGAUUGCUAAGUCAGGGGUGAAAUCCCGGGGCUCAACCUCGGAACUGCCUUUGAUACUGACAAUCUCGAGUCCGGAAGAGGUGGGUGGAAUUCCUAGUGUAGAGGUGAAAUUCGUAGAUAUUAGGAAGAACACCGGUGGCGAAGGCGGCCCACUGGUCCGGUACUGACGCUGAGGUGCGAAAGCGUGGGGAGCAAACAGGAUUAGAUACCCUUGUAGUC